UAGCGAGUCGUACCAUGUGCAUUAUAGGUUGUACCAGUUUUGAGGCUGCUUUUCUUUUACUAGGCUAGGUGAGCGGUGGGCACCUACCUAAACACGUGCCUCAUCCCCAAGACAAACAAUUCUCCGCUCCACCUCACAAACCUCAAUUAAGAGAGAGAUUCCUAAGCGACGGUGACGUUUCAAAGCCGAUGACGAUGAUAGAUCAUGGUUGAUUUCGGGUUCUGACGGGGUGGUUCUAGGCGGCAUGGCGGCGGCGUAGUCGACGCGAUGGGGAAGCUAAUUUUGACAAAGACGGUACACCGGUGGGUUAAAUAGCAGCAAAGAAAGGGUCAUUAACUUGAAGUGUUGCGUCGAUUAUUAUUAAGGAACGUUGUAAUUUGGAUUAUUAAGUCCCUAUCGAACUCGAUUCUCAUCUCGAGGCAGGAUUUUUUUUAAUACGGCUCAGUUGUGUUCCUGCGAAGUUAGGGUUCCGGUGAGUUUUCCGGUAAGUCGUAUUUCACAUGCUGAAGAUUCUGAACCAUGUAGGUGUUGGAACAACAGCUGCUGGUCUUAAAGCUGCGUUGACAAUCUUAACAAGUUUUUCGCACUUCUUUUUUCUUUCUGAAUGUUUGUUUCUAAAUUGUUCUUUAGUUUUCAUUCCAGUUUAGGACCCAACCACAAUUGUACUCUUUGGGGAUCAACCCUUUGGGGGAGAAUGGGUUCAUGCCAAAGGGGUGGGGACCCCGCCUAUAUAGAUCAAUUUACACUUCCCAAGUUAGUCGUAGCAAUUAAAUUGAUGCUAGCUGAUCCCGAGGUGAUGAACCUUCUAUUAUUUCAUAUUUCAACAUUCCAUGAUUAUCUGGUCCCAAAUGCAUCUGCAUAACAAAUAGAUAUCUCAAACUCGUUGGUUGGGUACCAGGUCAAAAUAUGUUAAUAUUGGUUCAUUACAAAACUUAACUGGGCUUGUUCGGGUGUCAAAAUGUUGGUUGUUUGUAAUGUUGAGGUUUGAAAUCAAUUGAGUGAACUGCAGUCAUGUUUAGGCUUGUAGUGGUGAUGGUUUGAUGUUAUUUAGGCUUGUAAUGUUGAUGUGGUUUGAUGAUCUGAUGUGAUGAUCUAUUAUUGUUUACACAGAUGACGACGGCUAUAUAGAUUGAAAAUAAAUGCCACCUUCAACAUAGCAUAUGUCUAAGUGGGAUUGCUACACCGCUAUGUUGCUGCAGUUGUUAGCAAAAUAAGAUUGAGCAAGAGCUUGCAUAAGAAUCAGUUGUCAACGGAAAUCAAGUACUUUAUAAAGAAUGUGUGGUUGCAACUGCAACUUUUAAAAAAUCAAUUUGUUUCCUGGCGUGGCAUAAUCAAAAGACGGCAAUUGUGAGGCUCUCCGCUUGCAACCUGUUUGUAGCCAUGGUGGCCGAAUCGAUAGAUCUGAGCCUAACAAGUUGGUCAGUUAAUGGGUCAAAAAUGUAGGCUUUUUAGGGGUAACUGAAGUUAUUUCUUGGAGUAAUAGGUUCUUUGUCACAAGGUUGAUGUAACAAAACAAUUGGGUUUUAUUAAGUAUCAUGCAGAAUGGAUCCCCGCCGCAUCACGGCGGGUGACAAAUCCUAGUUCAUCCCAUAAAGUAACAUAAUCUUGCCGACUCUUGUAAAAAAAUAAGCAUUA
Molecule: long non-coding RNA, 1635 nt
Organism: Helianthus annuus (common sunflower)
Lineage: Eukaryota; Viridiplantae; Streptophyta; Magnoliopsida; Asterales; Asteraceae
Exons: 3
Source: RefSeq, a predicted model, not a curated record